UACGGAGGGAGCUAGCGUUGUUCGGAAUUACUGGGCGUAAAGCGCACGUAGGCGGCUUUGUAAGUUAGAGGUGAAAGCCCGGGGCUCAACUCCGGAACUGCCUUUAAGACUGCAUCGCUUGAAUCCGGGAGAGGUGAGUGGAAUUCCGAGUGUAGAGGUGAAAUUCGUAGAUAUUCGGAAGAACACCAGUGGCGAAGGCGGCUCACUGGCCCGGUACUGACGCUGAGGUGCGAAAGCGUGGGGAGCAAACAGG
This 253-nucleotide ribosomal RNA is filed under the name uncultured bacterium. RNAcentral describes it as "partial 16S ribosomal RNA". It matches the Rfam family "Bacterial small subunit ribosomal RNA", at positions 524 to 776 of the family's 1533-position model. The record is from RNAcentral.